This 425-nucleotide ribosomal RNA is filed under the name uncultured bacterium. RNAcentral describes it as "bacterial SSU rRNA". It matches the Rfam family "Bacterial small subunit ribosomal RNA", at positions 359 to 776 of the family's 1533-position model. The record is from RNAcentral.
GAAUAUUGGACAAUGGGCGCAAGCCUGAUCCAGCCAUGCCGCGUGAGUGAAGAAGGCCUUCGGGUUGUAAAGCUCUUUCGGCCGGAACGAAAUCGUGCGGGUGAACAACCCGCGUGGAUGACGGUACCGGAAGAAGAAGCACAGGCUAACUACGUGCCAGCAGCCGCGGUAAUACGUAGGGUGCAAGCGUUAAUCGGAAUUACUGGGCGUAAAGCGUGCGCAGGCGGUCGCGUAAGCCAGAUGUGAAAUCCCCGGGCUUAACCUGGGAACUGCAUUUGGUACUGCGUGGCUGGAGUGCGGCAGAGGAAGGUGGAAUUCCUGGUGUAGCAGUGAAAUGCGUAGAGAUCAGGAGGAACACCGAUGGCGAAGGCAGCCUUCUGGGCCAGCACUGACGCUCAUGCACGAAAGCGUGGGGAGCAAACAGG